This 497-nucleotide ribosomal RNA is filed under the name uncultured bacterium. RNAcentral describes it as "partial 16S ribosomal RNA". It matches the Rfam family "Bacterial small subunit ribosomal RNA", at positions 28 to 507 of the family's 1533-position model. The record is from RNAcentral.
GAUGAGCGCUGGCGGCGUGCCUAAUACAUGCAAGUCGAGCGAACAGACGAGGAGCUUGCUCCUCUGACGUUAGCGGCGGACGGUUGAGUAACACGUGGAUAACCUACCUAUAAGACUGGGAUAACUUCGGGAAACCGGAGCUAAUACCGGAUAAUAUAUUGAACCGCAUGGUUCAAUAGUGAAAGACGGUUUUGCUGUCACUUAUAGAUGGAUCCGCGCCGCAUUAGCUAGUUGGUAAGGUAACGGCUUACCAAGGCGACGAUGCGUAGCCGACCUGAGAGGGUGAGCGGGCACACUGGAACGGAGACACGGUCCAGACUCCUACGGGAGGCAGCAGUAGGGAAUCUUCCGGAAUGGGCGAAAGCCUGACGGAGCAACGCCGCGUGAGUGAUGAAGGUCUUCGGAUCGUAAAACUCUGUUAUUAGGGAAGAACAAAUGUGUAAGUAACUAUGCACGUCUUGACGGUACCUAAACAGAAAGCCACGGCUAACUACGUG